AGAGUUUGAUCAUGGCUCAGGAUGGACGCUAGCUACAGGCUUAACACAUGCAAGUCGAGGGGAAACGAUAUUGGAAGCUUGCUUCCGAUAGGCGUCGACCGGCGCACGGGUGAGUAACGCGUAUCCAACCUGCCCACCACUUGGGGAUAACCUUGCGAAAGUAAGACUAAUACCCAAUGAUAUCUCUAGAAGACAUCUGAAAGAGAUUAAAGAUUUAUCGGUGAUGGAUGGGGAUGCGUCUGAUUAGCUUGUUGGCGGGGUAACGGCCACCAAGGCGACGAUCAGUAGGGGUUCUGGAGAGGAACGGUCCCCCACAUUGGAACUGAGACACGGUCCAAACUCCGUACGGGAGGCA
RNAcentral lists this ribosomal RNA (355 nucleotides) under uncultured bacterium. RNAcentral's name for it is "bacterial SSU rRNA". It matches the Rfam family "Bacterial small subunit ribosomal RNA", at positions 8 to 350 of the family's 1533-position model. The record is from RNAcentral.